CUCUUCUGUAACCUUGGGGAAAACAUCAAAAUCGAUACUUACAAAAAGCAUGGUGAAUGGAUGCAGAAGGAAGAUCUGAAUAUUCUCCUACUAUAAAAGCAUUUGAAUGUCCACAAAAAGAAUACUAAAGAAGACUCAAUAGGAUUGGGCACCUGCUCACAGAAAACCCAAUGAUUACAGCUAUUUCACAGCAACUACCCAAAAACAUCUACAGACGGCAUUACUCUUACAGUCAAUCCAAGACCAGAAAACUCUCCGUCCCCUCAUCAGUAGGAAGUAGCCAGAAGGAACACGCUGCCCCUUGUCCUUUUUAAGGGUCUGGAUUGACAGAGCAGGAGCAUCGCCAUCCUGGACAAGCACCGCCAUUCUAAAGAUCCCCUUGAUCAAAAACCACCUAAAUCCAAAGGGCAUCAGCCUAAUAGCUGAAGUCAGUAAGACCAUAAACCACAAAUGACAUCUCCAACUAGAAACGUUCCAACCCUAAGAUAAAUCCCUCCCCGACCAGAGACAAGCCAGCCCCGAGAUAACCUCCCCUCCAGCCAGAGAGAUGUGAGCCCCAAGAUAACCUCCCCUCUGAUCGGAGACAUUCCAACCUUGCAAUAAACUUCUCCUCCACACAGAAACAUUCCAAGCCUGUGAUAAGCUCUCUCACCCUAAAACCAAUAAAUACUCUUUAGUCUGUAAGAGAGAGUGCUCCUGACUGAAAUCGGCCAGAAGCCCCUCUCAGGUUUAUUCUCCAAAAUAAACCUGUCUUUCGUGUUUCUUUCCUCUUUAUUUAACUCUUACAUUAGGAAGUUUUCUUUUGGAGCAUUUUAAUUUCUUCUGCCUUCUUUAAACUCCAAAAUAUUUCCUUUAACUUCUCCCACAUUCCCUACCUCUCCUCAUUUUUUCCCCAUCCCUUCUCUCUUCCAGGGCUAUAUAGUUCUACUGAUUUUCUUAGCUGGUCUAACCCAUAAAUGUCCCACCCUACAGACUUUCUGCCCUCACUUUUCAGGAGUCAGACCAGAGGUGUAUCUAAAACAGACAGAGGGCAGGAGGUCUCUGACUCAAUGCCAGCAUGAGGGAAGAUGUAUGUCAGAGGAUAAAAGGGGAAGAAAGAAAUACAUACAACCAGAGACAAGGUUAUUGAUGCUUACUUUUUAUUCUAUUUAAGGUCUUGUAUAUUAAACGAUGCUACUUUUAUUCUAUUUAAGGUCCUGUAUAUUAAAAGAUGAAGAUGUGCAUCAAAUUUGGCUCACACAAUAUGCACCCACUUAAACAUAUUUAAAAGCUUAUCCAAUAAAAAGGAGCAGAAAGUUAAAU
Molecule: long non-coding RNA, 1302 nt
Filed under: Homo sapiens (human)
Lineage: Eukaryota; Metazoa; Chordata; Mammalia; Primates; Hominidae
Description: HSALNT0324239
Source: RNAcentral